This 229-nucleotide unclassified non-coding RNA is filed under the name plant metagenome. Its description in RNAcentral is "partial contains small subunit ribosomal RNA, internal transcribed spacer 1, and 5.8S ribosomal RNA". The record is from RNAcentral.
UCUCCGUAGGUGAACCUGCGGAGGGAUCAUUACAGAGUUCUCGCCCUCGCGGGUAGAUCUCCCACCCACUGUUAUCGUUACUGUGUUGCUUUGGCGGGCCGCCGGGCCCCGCUCGGCCGCCGGCUCCGGCUGGCGCGCGCCCGCCAGAGGCCCAGCAAACUCUGAAUGUUAGUGUCGUCUGAGUACUAUAUAACAGUUAAAACUUUCAACAACGGAUCUCUUGGUUCUG